This 497-nucleotide ribosomal RNA is filed under the name uncultured bacterium. Its description in RNAcentral is "partial 16S ribosomal RNA". It matches the Rfam family "Bacterial small subunit ribosomal RNA", at positions 28 to 507 of the family's 1533-position model. The record is from RNAcentral.
GAUGAACGCUGGCGGCGUGCCUAAUACAUGCAAGUCGAGCGAACGGACGAGAAGCUUGCUUCUCUGAUGUUAGCGGCGGACGGGUGAGUAACACGUGGAUAACCUACCUAUAAGACUGGGAUAACUUCGGGAAACCGGAGCUAAUACCGGAUAAUAUUUUGAACCGCAUGGUUCAAAAGUGAAAGACGGUCUUGCUGUCACUUAUAGAUGGAUCCGCGCUGCAUUAGCUAGUUGGUAAGGUAACGGCUUACCAAGGCAACGAUGCAUAGCCGUCCUGAGAGGGUGAUCGGCCACACUGGAACUGAGACACGGUCCAGACUCCUACGGGAGGCAGCAGUAGGGAAUCUUCCGCAAUGGGCGAAAGCCUGACGGAGCAGCGCCGCGUGAGUGAUGAAGGUCUUCGGAUCGUAAAACUCUGUUAUUAGGGAAGAACAUAUGUGUAAGUAACUGUGCACAUCGUGACGGUACCUAAUCAGAAAGCCACGGCUAACUACGUG